This is a long non-coding RNA of Leopardus geoffroyi (Geoffroy's cat), 719 nucleotides long. RefSeq lists it as uncharacterized. The record is from RefSeq and is a predicted model, not a curated record. The transcript is spliced from 3 exons. Lineage: Eukaryota; Metazoa; Chordata; Mammalia; Carnivora; Felidae.
CUGGGAAAUCUGCAUUCUUAACAAGCAAGUCUGGUUAUUUGUUAAGCAGUCUAAAGUUUGAGAAGCACUGAUCGAUGUUAGUGAGGUCCUCCCUUCCUAGGUUGAUUUGAAUACACAAUACCAGAGGGCGCGGUGAGAUGACUCACAGGACAAGUGGCUGCAGCUUUGGGAACUAUCAGAGAUGACAAAUAAGAGAGAUGGAUAUACAAGCAAAUGUCCUAAUGACUGGAAGCAGAAGGAGAGAAAACGUAAGAUAAAGAGAAGUGGGGAGACUAUAUGAAGAAAAGAGCUGACAGUACAGAUGCUUUAACCCAUGAAUCUUUUAUUUUUUUCAUAUACACCUUGUUAUUGAAAAUGAAUGGCAGGAACUUAUGUUACCCGAAAACAGUAUGGAAUGUGAAACCAGAGGGAGAAUUUGCAAAUAUGUCUUUCUUAAAGAGGAUUCAUUUCUCUUACUGGAAAUAUUAUUUAAACACCUACCUACUGCUGACUAUCAAAUUCAAAUGUGUUUUUUAUGAACAUCUUCACAACCCACCUCAACAAACAGAUUCAAGAAAGAAUUAAAGGAAAGAAUGUGUCUAAGUUUCUCUCCAUUAAUGAAGGGGAAAGUCAGGCUUUUGUUAUUUUUCCAGGGAAGUAUAAUUCAUGUCACUGAAGGAAACUACUGCUAACAGUGUGAGUAUUUCAUUCUUUUCCUCAUUCUCUCUUUCUCUCUCUCU